AGUUGCCAUGAUCUUUAGCUCUAGACUGCAUGGUCAACAACUAAUAAUAGAGCACCCGCUCUAAUACCACUUGUUGUCCAGAGAUAGCAAUCCAAGGAGGGGUGAAUGGGAUUCUUUAAAAAUUUUAGCCAAAUUAAACUCUAAGGCAAUUAUGUACUUCAAUUUAAACCUAACUUGAGUGAUUAUGUGGUCAUUGCAAUAUGCAACAGCAAAAAUAACUUAGUGAAUGCAAGAUAAGAAAGUAAAAUAAGUAA
Molecule: long non-coding RNA, 254 nt
Filed under: Elaeis guineensis (African oil palm)
Lineage: Eukaryota; Viridiplantae; Streptophyta; Magnoliopsida; Arecales; Arecaceae
Description: long non-coding RNA (EGUI_LNC043385)
Source: RNAcentral